RNAcentral lists this ribosomal RNA (253 nucleotides) under uncultured bacterium. RNAcentral describes it as "partial 16S ribosomal RNA". It matches the Rfam family "Bacterial small subunit ribosomal RNA", at positions 524 to 776 of the family's 1533-position model. The record is from RNAcentral.
UACGGGGGGGGCAAGCGUUGUCCGGAAUUAUUGGGCGUAAAGAGCUCGUAGGCGGUCUGUUGCGUCCGCUGUGAAAACUCGGGGCUUAACCCCGAGCCUGCAGUGGAUACGGGCAGACUAGAGGUAGGUAGGGGAGAAUGGAAUUCCCGGUGUAGCGGUGAAAUGCGCAGAUAUCGGGAGGAACACCGGUGGCGAAGGCGGUUCUCUGGGCCUUACCUGACGCUGAGGAGCGAAAGCGUGGGGAGCGAACAGG